RNAcentral lists this ribosomal RNA (585 nucleotides) under uncultured Polynucleobacter sp. Its description in RNAcentral is "bacterial SSU rRNA". It matches the Rfam family "Bacterial small subunit ribosomal RNA", at positions 340 to 919 of the family's 1533-position model. Lineage: Bacteria; Pseudomonadati; Pseudomonadota; Betaproteobacteria; Burkholderiales; Burkholderiaceae. The record is from RNAcentral.
UACGGGAGGCAGCAGUGGGGAAUUUUGGACAAUGGGGGCAACCCUGAUCCAGCAAUGCCGCGUGAGUGAAGAAGGCCUUCGGGUUGUAAAGCUCUUUUGUCAGGGAAGAAACAGCAGCUCUAACACAGUCUGCGAAUGACGGUACCUGAAGAAUAAGCACCGGCUAACUACGUGCCAGCAGCCGCGGUAAUACGUAGGGUGCGAGCGUUAAUCGGAAUUACUGGGCGUAAAGCGUGCGCAGGCGGUUAUACAAGACAGGCGUGAAAUCCCCGGGCUUAACCUGGGAAUGGCGUCUGUGACUGUAUAGCUAGAGUGUGUCAGAGGGGGGUGGAAUUCCACGUGUAGCAGUGAAAUGCGUAGAUAUGUGGAGGAACACCAAUGGCGAAGGCAGCCCCCUGGGAUAACACUGACGCUCAUGCACGAAAGCGUGGGGAGCAAACAGGAUUAGAUACCCUGGUAGUCCACGCCCUAAACGAUGCUGACUAGUUGUUGGGAAUUUACAUUCUCAGUAACGUAGCUAACGCGUGAAGUCAGCCGCCUGGGGAGUACGGUCGCAAGAUUAAAACUCAAAGGAAUUGACGGGGA